RNAcentral lists this ribosomal RNA (2072 nucleotides) under Gammaproteobacteria bacterium. Its description in RNAcentral is "bacterial LSU rRNA". It matches the Rfam family "Bacterial large subunit ribosomal RNA", at positions 3 to 1987 of the family's 2925-position model. The record is from RNAcentral. Lineage: Bacteria; Pseudomonadati; Pseudomonadota; Gammaproteobacteria.
UCAAGCUACUAAGGGCGUACGGUGGAUGCCUUGGCGCAGGACGGCGAUGAAGGACGCGGUAAGCUGCGAAAAGCUCCGGUGAGUCGCAAACAGGCUUUGACCCGGAGAUUUCCGAAUGGGGCAACCCCUCGAGUAACCCUCGAGAACGUCAUCUGAAUACAUAGGGUGGCGUGGCCUACCCGGGGAAGUGAACCAUCUCAGUACCCGGAGGAACAGAAAGCAAAUGCGAUUCCCCCAGUAGCGGCGAGCGAAGAGGGAACAGCCCAAACCUUUGAUGUGUAAGCCUGCAGGCGUUGUAUCAAGGGUGUUGUAGGGCCGGACAUGGUGUGGCUGCAGCAGCACCGGGGAGUGAGAAACCAAUCUCCUAACCGAACGAUCUGGAAAGGUCGGCGAUACAGGGUGAUAGCCCCGUAGGUGAAAGGAGAGAGGCUCCCUCGUCUGGUACCUGAGUACCGCGGGACACGUGGAACCCUGCGGGAACCUGGGAGGACCAUCUCCCAAGGCUAAAUACGUGCCUGCGACCGAUAGUGAACCAGUACCGUGAGGGAAAGGUGAAAAGAACCCCUGUGAGGGGAGUGAAAUAGUACCUGAAACCGUAUGCCUACAAGCAGUGGGAGGGCGUUUGCCGGGGCUUCGGCUCCGAUAUUGCCUGACCACGUGCCUUUUGCAUAAUGAGCCGGCUAGUUAUUCUCGGUGGCAAGGUUAAGCGUUAAGCCAGCCGCAGCGAAAGCGAGUCUGAUAAGGGCGAUUCAGUCGCCGGGAAUAGACGCGAAGCGAGGUGAUCUACCCAUGGCCAGGGUGAAAGUCGGGUAACACCGACCGGAGGCCCGAACCAGUGUUGGUUGAAAACAACUUGGAUGAGCUGUGGGUAGGGGUGAAAGGCUAAUCAAACCUCGUGAUUGCUCGUUCUCCUCGAAAUAGCUUUAGGGCUAGCCUCGCGGGUUAGCUUCCGGAGGUAAAGUACUGGAUGGACUAGGGCCUCUACCAAGGUACUGAAUCCAACCAAACUCUGAAUGCCGGAAAGCCGGACCGCGGGAGUCAGACAGUGGGGGCUAAGCUUCAUUGUCGAGAGGGAAACAGCCCAGACCGCCAGCUAAGGUCCCUAAUUCAGACUUAGUGGUAAAGGAUGUGGAUCCGCUAAAACAGCCAGGAGGUUGGCUUAGAAGCAGCCAUCCUUCAAAGAAAGCGUAAUAGCUCACUGGUCGAGUGGAUCCGCGCCGACAAUUCAACGGGGCUCAAGUCUGAUACCGAAGCUGCGGACUCGUGAGAGAUUCGUCUCUCAUGAUUGGUAGAGGAGCGUUCCAUGUUCGCUGAAGCUCGACCGACAAGGACGAGUGGAGGGCAUGGAAGAGACCCUGCCGGCACAAGUAGCGAUAAAACACGCGAGAACCGUGUUCGCCGAAAGCCUAAGGUUUCCUGAGGAAGGUCAAUCCGCUCAGGGUUAGUCGGUCCUAAGGCCAGGCCGAAAGGCGUAGCCGAUGGAAAACGGGUCAACAUUCCCGUACUGCCGCAAGGCGAUAAAGACCGAUGGGGUGACGCAGAAGGGCAAGCCAGCCCGCGACUGGUUGUGCGGGUUCAAGGGUGUAGGAAGGCUUCGCAGGUAAAUCCACGAAGUCGCGUUUCCGAGACCUGAUAACGAGAGCUUCGGCUCAUAAAGUGGCCCAUCCCACGCUGCCAAGAAAAGCCUCUAAGGAGUCUUGUGGUGACCGUACCGCAAACCGACACAGGUAGGCGAGGAGAGAAUCCUAAGGCGCUAGUGAGAACCCUCGUUUAGGAACUCGGCAAAAUAGCCCCGUAACUUCGGGAGAAGGGGUGCCCUCUCUGGUGAAGGACUUCGCGUCCGGAGCUGGGGGGGGUUGCAGUGAAUUGGCCCAGGCGACUGUUUACUAAAAACAUAGGGCUCUGCAAAGUCAACAAAACGACGUAUAGGGCCUGACGCCUGCCCGGUGCCGGAAGGUUAAAGAGAGGGGUUAGUCCUUCGGGACGAAGCUCUGAACUGAAGCCCCGGUAAACGGCGGCCGUAACUAUAACGGUCCUAAGGUAGCGAAAUUCCUUGUCGGGUAAGUUCCGAC